RNAcentral lists this long non-coding RNA (1226 nucleotides) under Mytilus galloprovincialis (Mediterranean mussel). The record is from RNAcentral. Lineage: Eukaryota; Metazoa; Mollusca; Bivalvia; Mytilida; Mytilidae.
AAUCUUUUUUCUGUCGAUUGGAAAUAACAUUAAAAUUUGGUACACACAUCAAAAUAGCAGUGUGCACCACAUUUAUUGUGUUAUUUCUUUAUAGACAGAAAAAAUAUUAUAUUAAUUCCUUAAAUAGUUACAAACAUAUUUUAUAUGGUGGAACAACUUGACCUUCACGAAGACAACGGAAAUCUACCUCUUAUAUUUGCAAAGUACAUUAUACAAUAAAGAACUAAUAUGUCUGUACCGGAAGGACAUCUAUUCACAUGCCAUAAAGUGUCAGGCCAUAUACAAGAGGUCUCAUUAAAUGUUAAAAUUAUUUUUUGCGUUCUAUCGCUACGUUGGUUUUUUUUUUGUUUUUUUUUUUUUAAAUAUAUAUAUUUUCACAAAACAAAGACAAUUUUAGAAAUUAGCUGUGCAAAGCCCGAGUUUGGUUUUCUGUAAUUUGUGGUUAAGUAGAAGAGAGACCGUCUUGACAAAGUCAUGGAAACUCAAACCACCACCGGUACAUACAUAAAGAAAAGAUUUGCUUAACUAUUAAUUAACAGUUAUUUCUCUCAUUUGGGGGAGGGGGGGAUCCGAAGCUCUUUGUAUUUAUGUAUUACAGUAUUUAUAUGUGUAAUUGAAAUGUACACGAUAUUUUGAAAUAAUAAAUAAGUUUAAAGUAAGUAGAAUAAAAAAGAAUACUAUAUAUACUAGAAUAUACUCUAUGGAUGGAAGAUUGUAUAAUAAACAGUGAUUCUAUGCAGCAUAUUGCACUGGUCUACAUUAUAAUGACCCCCCCCCCACUUUCCCCAAAGAAAACGGUACUUACAAAGCAAAUAUGGAUAGUUAAUUUAUAACUGUUUCUGGAGAUCCCGAAUAUAGGUAAACAAUUUUUUUGUUUCAUGAUUCAUAAGUUUAUAGGUGUGGAUGAAAAAUAAAUAUUCUUGCAUACAAGUUCUAAGAGAUAAGGCAAAUAAAUGAAGAAGAAAAACUUGACAUAAUAAAUAUAUAUCAUACAAUUUCUUAAACUAAAUAUUUCUAAAAUGAUUGAUUGAUUUAUAUUGUUUUCUCUCUAAAAGGAUGAUAUUUAAUAUGAAGCAGCUCAUUUUCAUAUUUUCUACCUGAUAUGUAAGUAAUAUUUGCCGCUGGACGUUUAACAUCCAGCCGUCAUCUUCAUCAUUCUCCUUUGAUUAAGGGGAAACAACUCUAAAAUAUAAACGAAUCGAUUCAUAGAAUAUCUCGCAUCAGCG